ACUCCUACGGGAGGCAGCAGUAGGGAAUCUUCCACAAUGGGCGAAAGCCUGAUGGAGCAAUGCCGCGUGAGUGAAGAAGGUUUUCGGAUCGUAAAACUCUGUUGUUGAAGAAGAACAUGCGUGAGAGUAACUGUUCACGUACUGACGGUAUUCAACCAGAAAGCCACGGCUAACUACGUGCCAGCAGCCGCGGUAAUACGUAGGUGGCAAGCGUUGUCCGGAUUUAUUGGGCGUAAAGAGAAUGUAGGCGGUUUAUUAAGUUUGAAGUGAAAGCCCUCGGCUCAACCGAGGAAGUGCUUCGAAAACUGGUAAACUUGAGUGCAGAAGAGGAAAGUGGAACUCCAUGUGUAGCGGUGGAAUGCGUAGAUAUAUGGAAGAACACCAGUGGCGAAGGCGGCUUUCUGGUCUGUAACUGACGCUGAGAUUCGAAAGCAUGGGUAGCAAACAGGAUUAGAUACCCUGGUAGGAUAGCGU
RNAcentral lists this ribosomal RNA (474 nucleotides) under uncultured bacterium. Its description in RNAcentral is "bacterial SSU rRNA". It matches the Rfam family "Bacterial small subunit ribosomal RNA", at positions 335 to 802 of the family's 1533-position model. The record is from RNAcentral.